Long non-coding RNA from Dipodomys ordii (Ord's kangaroo rat), 476 nucleotides. RefSeq lists it as uncharacterized. The record is from RefSeq and is a predicted model, not a curated record. NCBI's taxonomy places the organism in Eukaryota, Metazoa, Chordata, Mammalia, Rodentia, Heteromyidae. The transcript has 3 exons.
GCUAGCCCCAACGAGAUGGUGGGCUCCUUGUCCAGGUUAAAUUAACAUACAUGCUUAAUCUUAUCAUAUACCCCUUGAAGAAAGGAAACCACCCUUUCUCUUGCACAGAACUGUAGGAUAUGGGAGGGGGUGUAAGGGCUCAGGACAAAGCAGAGGAUGAAGAGAGAGAGGAGGCCAGCACACUAACUGUUGUCUCUUUUUCCUUCUUCCUUACUGGGCUAGUGUCUGACGCUACAUACAGAUAUAGAGAAUCUCAAGGAACGAGUAGAGGCCAUUCAGUCCCUCACUGAGAAGUUCCAGUCGCUGGGAGAAUGAACACACCAUCUUCAAGAGAUACAGCUAGUACCUGUAGUCCAGAGUUGUCACCCACCUUCUUCAGUUGAGUUCUUCUUCAUCCAGUUUGUCCUUUUGACCCCUUGUUUAAGCCCUACAACCCCAGUUCAUAACAGCUUUAAAUUAAAAUGCAUUUUGUUUUC